Camelus dromedarius (Arabian camel) is the source of this 1559-nucleotide long non-coding RNA. RefSeq lists it as uncharacterized. The record is from RefSeq and is a predicted model, not a curated record. The transcript is spliced from 4 exons. Lineage: Eukaryota; Metazoa; Chordata; Mammalia; Artiodactyla; Camelidae.
AGGCUGCUUUCAACUAUUUGUGGCUGGGAAUCCAAGAAUAUCUGUUCUUACCGCUAGAGAUCCCCCAACCCCUUGUCACCUGAUUCAAGGAGGAGACAGAUUCUUUGGGAUUGUCCUUCUGAAGCCCUUGAGUGUCCUUCCUCACGGCUGUACCCGCAGAGGAAGAUGAGCUGGGCUGUGCGGAAGGAAGGCUGUGGACAAGCCAACCUCGGGACGGGUUAAUGUCACAUGCACGGGAACCUCACCUACCUGAGAGACUCAGGGACAGAAAGGUCUUUUUCAGUCCAAACUUCUCUGAGAGAGUCGGGGGCAAUGUCAUACGGUGAUGGGACACCAUCAAAGUGGCCACGCAGGACGUUUGCUGGCAGAUUUCCACGUGGUGUUUGAUGGGAUGGCAUCUGGGACUUUUCUGAGCAGUUUUGCCUGAACACAGUGCCCCCAGCAACGGGACCAGUCUUACCGCAUCGCCUUACAGACCGCGGCUGAAAUCCCCAGGAGACAUCGGACGGGUCACUGCUACGAGCUGGUCAUCGCUACAGGACUGGUCAUCGCCAGGGACUGAGGGUGUGCGGACCCCAGGCUGCAGCGGCUCACGAGGGGACAGGUGGCUGGGCACCGUGGCUGCAACAGCUGGAAAGCAGUGUGAAUCUGGAAACGUGGUCUGGCCCCCACAUCGUACGGGGGUCAGACCUGUGUCCGUAGCGCGACUUUCCCACGCCGGCAACGAUCAUCCUCUCCGAUCUGCGAGCAGAACUUCCGGAGGAAGCCUGUGAGUCUGGUACCCGCCAUGUGAAUGAGCUUGGUUACUAAGGACGGUCACCCUCCCGGGAAGACCACACAGCCGCCAUUCGGGGCGACUCCUGUCCCGGCUGCCCCCAUGUGCCCAGGCUGGCGUCCUCUAGUUUGCUCAAACAAGUCUGCCAGCUUCCACAUCUCCCCACAGGUCCGCCUCCACAGUCCUCACACCCGCACCUGCCAAGCUCACUGCCAGGAUAAGAAAGACCGAUGGGGUUUGGGGAAGAUUCCUGCAGCUUCCAAAGUUACCAUAAAGCAAAACAAAACAAAGAAAAAACAUUUAAGGGAAAAUAUGUGUGUUUGGGUUUAUUUCAGGAGAAUAUUUUCUCAAUUUCUGCUUAACUUAAAUUGCUUUCUUUUAAGCCACGACUCACAGCAGUUUUGGUGAGUUUAGCUGGGUUAUCAUGAAGUCCUCCUCUUCCGAGUUCUUAUGGGAUCAUGGUGUGGAUGGGCUGCUACAGGUUGCAUCGAGCCUCCCUGAAUGCCUAUGUCGAGCGACAAUCUCCAGUGCCUCCGAAUGUGGAAACAGGUCCUUUAACGGGGCAGUUAAGGUAAAAGGAAGGCAUUAAUGUGGGUCCUAAGCUGUGUCGAGUGUCCUGUUAAGAAAAGGGGAUCAGGAUGAAGACACACACAGAGGACGCGGGGAGAAGACAGCUGUGUGCCGAUGGCUGUGUACAGUCAGGACGGACCAGCCCUACCUGUGUGCCGAUCUUGGCCUCCUGGCUUCCAGAACUGAGAAAAUAAAUUCCUACUGUUUAAGGCCC